RNAcentral lists this ribosomal RNA (162 nucleotides) under Ceriops decandra. Its description in RNAcentral is "5.8S ribosomal RNA". It matches the Rfam family "5.8S ribosomal RNA". From Rfam's summary of the family: 5.8S ribosomal RNA (5.8S rRNA) is a component of the large subunit of the eukaryotic ribosome. It is transcribed by RNA polymerase I as part of the 45S precursor that also contains 18S and 28S rRNA. Lineage: Eukaryota; Viridiplantae; Streptophyta; Magnoliopsida; Malpighiales; Rhizophoraceae. The record is from RNAcentral.
AACGACUCUCGGCAACGGAUAUCUCGGCUCUCGCAUCGAUGAAGAACGCAGCGAAAUGCGAUACUUGGUGUGAAUUGCAGAAUCCCGCGAACCAUCGAGUCUUUGAACGCAAGUUGCGCCCGAAGCCUUCUGGCCGAGGGCACGUCUGCCUGGGUGUCACUC